UGAGGUCAGAGUUCGCAAGGUGCCCAGCAAAUUCAACGACUUUGUGAGGGCGUGAUUCUGUUGCGAGAAAAGUGGAUCUCCCUAACUGAAUCUUGCUAUUUCCAUUUCUUUUUUUCGUUAUUUCCAAUUUGCUGUUUCUGGAAGAAUCUUCGUUAGGAGUGAUUCGUAUAAAUGGGAAAUCUCUUUGUGUUGGGAGGGGUAUAUAAGAAGAACUUUUUGUUAAUUUAGAGUUUAGCACUUACAAUUUUUACCAAUUGUAUCACUAACGUUCCCUGUUUAGUUCUCUCUUUUUCUUUUUUCUCUUAUUUUUGCUUCCCCUGCGCUUCUUCUCCUCCUCCUCCUUCUUCCACCAACGCUUUGGUGCACUUAUCUCUUCAAUCCAUCCCCUCUUUAGAUUUUUACGUUUCCACACCUCGUUGUUCCUCUGUAUUUUUUCUCGUCUUUCCCUCUCUUUUCCUUUUCUACAUUUGUUCCAUGUUCUGCCUUUUUUUUUUUUUUUUUUUUUUGCUUUUCAGAAGUUAAUAUUCCUCCAACAAUCCCCAUCUUUGUUCGAUAGCAGCACUUGUGAUUGUACACGACUCCUAGGUUUGUGUUUAUUGCUGACAUUAGCUUAGGAUUACACGGUUUUUUUCCCCCUUUUUCUCUGGAUUUUAAGGGUUCAGCUUGGUUUGUUAUGGAUGCUACAAGAUUGACUUAGAAGAUGCUUGGUGUUAAAGGAUUUAUGGUCGGUUUCUGACGGUGGACCUAUUUUCGGCAUUUUCUCAAUCGUUAUCUUCAACACCAAGCCUUAUUGUUGUUCUUCAUUCAUUUGAUCUUGAUGAUCCUUCUGCCUCUGAAUGGACUAAGAACAUUAUCUACAAUGAAAUUUUGUCAUUAGCAAAUUGUAGUUCACCAGGAAGGGAUGACUCUCGCUUAUUGGAGUCUAUGAGCAAUUUAUUCCCAGCUGUGGAGAUCUGACAUAACUUAAUAUGAUAAUCACGUCAGAAUAAUAUUGGAGAAUGAAGACAUCAUGAAGACUUGCUUUGAGGUAGGAUUGACCAUCUUGAUAUGGAAUAUGAGAUUUGUUUCCUUUUUUUUUUUUUUGGUUCUGUUUCCUUGUUUUAUUGGAAUGUUAUGUGAACAUGCAUUUACU
Molecule: long non-coding RNA, 1132 nt
Organism: Morus notabilis
Lineage: Eukaryota; Viridiplantae; Streptophyta; Magnoliopsida; Rosales; Moraceae
Exons: 4
Source: RefSeq, a predicted model, not a curated record